This 497-nucleotide ribosomal RNA is filed under the name uncultured bacterium. RNAcentral describes it as "partial 16S ribosomal RNA". It matches the Rfam family "Bacterial small subunit ribosomal RNA", at positions 28 to 507 of the family's 1533-position model. The record is from RNAcentral.
GAUGAACGCUGGCGGCGUGCCUAAUACAUGCAAGUCGAUCGAACAGACGAGGAGCUUGCUCCUUCGACGUUAGCGGCGGACGGGUGAGUAACACGUAGGUAACCUACCUAUAAGACUGGGAUAACUUCGGGAAACCGGAGCUAAUACCGGAUAAUAUUUCGAACCGCAUGGUUCGAUAGUGAAAGAUGGCUUUGCUAUCACUUAUAGAUGGACCUGCGCCGUAUUAGCUAGUUGGUAAGGUAACGGCUUACCAAGGCAACGAUACGUAGCCGACCUGAGAGGGUGAUCGGCCACACUGGAACUGAGACACGGUCCAGACUCCUACGGGAGGCAGCAGUAGGGAAUCUUCCGCAAUGGGCGAAAGCCUGACGGAGCAACGCCGCGUGAGUGAUGAAGGUCUUCGGAUCGUAAAACUCUGUUAUUAGGGAAGAACAAACGUGUAAGUAACUGUGCACGUCUUGACGGUACCUAAUCAGAAAGCCACGGCUAACUACGUG